This 253-nucleotide ribosomal RNA is filed under the name uncultured bacterium. RNAcentral's name for it is "partial 16S ribosomal RNA". It matches the Rfam family "Bacterial small subunit ribosomal RNA", at positions 524 to 776 of the family's 1533-position model. The record is from RNAcentral.
UACGUAGGGGGCUAGCGUUGUCCGGAAUCAUUGGGCGUAAAGCGCGUGUAGGCGGCCCGGUAAGUCCGCUGUGAAAGUCGGGGGCUCAACCCUCGAAUGCCGGUGGAUACUGCCGGGCUAGAGUACGGAAGAGGCGAGUGGAAUUCCUGGUGUAGCGGUGAAAUGCGCAGAUAUCAGGAGGAACACCAAUGCGAAGGCAGCUCGCUGGGACGUUACUGACGCUGGAGACGCGAAAGCGUGGGGAGCAAACAGG